Molecule: ribosomal RNA, 531 nt
Filed under: uncultured bacterium
Lineage: Bacteria
Description: bacterial SSU rRNA
Rfam family: Bacterial small subunit ribosomal RNA
Source: RNAcentral
AAUAGAUACCCGGGUAGUCCACGCCGUAAACGAUGGGUGCUAAGUGUUAGGGGGUUUCCGCCCCUUAGUGGCUGCAGCUAACGCAUUAAGCACUCCGCCUGGGGAGUACGGCCGCAAGGCUGAAACUCAAAGGAAUUGACGGGGGGCCCGCACAAGCGGUGGAGCAUGUGGUUUAAUUCGAAGCAACGCGAAGAACCUUACCAGGUCUUGACAUCCUCUGACAACUCUAGAGAUAGAGCGUUCCCCUUCGGGGGACAGAGUGACAGGUGGUGCAUGGUUGUCGUCAGCUCGUGUCGUGAGAUGUUGGGUUAAGUCCCGCAACGAGCGCAACCCUUGAUCUUAGUUGCCAGCAUUCAGUUGGGCACUCUAAGGUGACUGCCGGUGACAAACCGGAGGAAGGUGGGGAUGACGUCAAAUCAUCAUGCCCCUUAUGACCUGGGCUACACACGUGCUACAAUGGACGGUACAAAGAGUCGCAAGACCGCGAGGUGGAGCUAAUCCCAUAAAACCGUUCUCAGUUCGGAUUGCAGG